This 2125-nucleotide long non-coding RNA is filed under the name Canis lupus familiaris (dog). Its description in RNAcentral is "lncRNA (ENSCAFG00000055662.1, ENSCAFG00845005683.1)". The record is from RNAcentral. Lineage: Eukaryota; Metazoa; Chordata; Mammalia; Carnivora; Canidae.
AAAAAAAAAUGCACACUUUCAGGUCCCCAAUACCCCUUGGAAAGCAAAGUCAUGGCCCUGACCCUUAAGUUACACUUCCACUCCCUGUACUUGUGUGGUGGCCAACACUCAUGGCGCCUUUGCUCACUGACCCUGGAAUAAUCAGCCAAAGGCACAUUCUCAGCCUGGCCCUCCUGGUAGUCAGACUGAUUAAUGGGUAUUGGGAGAGAGGUCAAAGCUAGAGAAGAGGCAAUUCCUGUGUACUCACCACAGAUACUGUUUGAGGCGGGGUGAGGAAGGUCCUUUGAGGUUCAGUCCAGAAUUCCUCAGAAGGGCUUGACAACUCUCCUGCACCACCUUGAGAGUCCUCUGUUAAGAAAUCUCUUACCAGGAGCACCUGAGUGGCUCAGUGGGUUAAGUGUCAACCCUUGUUUUUGGCUCAGGUCAUGAUCUCAGGGUCGUGAGAUCGAACCCUAUGUUAGGCUCUGCACUCAGCACGGAGUCUGCUUCAGAUUCUCUCUCUCCCUUUGCCUCUCCUGCUGGUGCUCUUCUGACUCUCAUAUAAAUAAAUACAUAAUGUUUAAAAAGAAAAGAAAAGAAAAGAAAAGAAAUGUCUUACACCAUGUUGCAAGAAAAGAAAAGAAAAGAAAAGAAAUGUCUUACACCAUGUUGCCAGAGAUCUGAGGCUCUACUGAAAAAUUAGAUUCCAGUGUAACCUCUCCAGCUGCAAAGUGAAUGACGUCUAGUGCGAUGCUUUUUCUAAAGCCUAAUCAGUUCCCACAGUCACAGAAUUAGAGGGAAAGAAAGGAAGAAAAAAGAAGAUAGAUGGGUUUGGCAGAAGGGCUGCUGGCUCUUCCUGGAAUCGCGUUUUCCUGGUGCUUGCUUUGGCUCCCGGCCACCAGCUGGCCUGUGGCGGGAGCAGAGUCCACCAUGAAGAGUGGACUUCGCAGCAGAUGCUGCUGGUGUCCUGUCUCCUCUCCUCUGCAGGCACGGUCCCGUGGACUCCCAGGGUCUGGCUCCGCCCUUGGAGCUGAUGACCCUGGAAGCCCGCUUUCCAGCAGGAAUUGUGGGGGGAAAGCCCAGCCUCUUUGGCCGCGGAGGGGGACAGCUCUGAGGCUUGUGUCUGCAGCCACCAGAGGCUCCAGCAGGCCAGAGCCUCAAGUGCUUACGGUCAAAGCUGGCUUAUCGACGCGGUGUAUUCUAGCUUGCUUCUCGCCUUCCACCCCCUCGGGCUCCUACCCUCCGCUCCUCACAUUCAAAUCCUUAUCUGCCAGCACCAGGCGAGCAAGCUCCUAGGUGUUCAAGUCGCCAGGUAAAUGGUUCCAUCAGGGACACUGCGCUCCAAGAGGAUGUCCUGCCUUCUCCCUGCAUCUUGUCUGGCCAAAGGCAAAACAAACCAGCGGCCCGAAACAAGCCGGAGCAACAACAAUAAGAAAACCAGUGUCACCUGUUAUGUUUCCCACAGUGGACUUAUCGUCAUUGUCUGGAUUGGGCUUUGCAACGUAUUAGUUUUGAUGUGGCUGGCUUCCAAAACUCGGUUCCAGGCAGGAUUCCAGCCAUCCUGCCUACUAAUUCUUAACGGGCAGUUUGCACGAGCUUCGUGAUUCUUGACAUCACGCCCAAGCCCGCUGGGCCAGGACAAAAAGGGGGUUCUUCCGUGAGGCGUCCGGAAUUACUUGCAGCCCCCCUUCCCCACCCGUACCCCGACCUGGUUCUGGUGAACCGCUUCUCAUUUUGCACGUGCAAUUAUUUUCUCUCUGUCCGUAUCAAUACUCUGUGCUGAUAAAGAUUAAAAGGGGCAAAACAGAGCUUGAGAGCUUUACAACUCCUACCGGAGUAGCAAUGUAUUUUCCUAUCUGUCCGUUUGAUUGGAAAUUUAAAUCAUCUCACAUUUUAGGAAAUUGGUAGCCUCAGAAGAUACGGAAUCUGACAGUUUAUGGCUCAAUCUGCGCCUUGCUGUCUUUAAAGGAAAGCUAGUAAAAAUUGAAAUUAAGGAAAACAAAUAAAUACCAUAGUCCUCUGAUGGUGCAUUUUAUAAUGAUCACAUCUGCUGCAAAGCGCCUGAAAAAUGGCUCUGGACGGCUGCCGGAGCUGCAGAAUGGCUCACGCGGUGAAGAGGAGCGGAGCAGGAGAGGAUCUGGGAUAA